RNAcentral lists this long non-coding RNA (544 nucleotides) under Triticum aestivum (bread wheat). RNAcentral's name for it is "long non-coding RNA (TAES_LNC004465)". Lineage: Eukaryota; Viridiplantae; Streptophyta; Magnoliopsida; Poales; Poaceae. The record is from RNAcentral.
GUUUAUGUAUAGAACCUGCUAAUGUCUUUUUCAUGAUUCUUAUUUACUGCUCGAUCUUGAGAAAAUUAACUGAGAAACCAAUGUUCGCUGUUACUUCUUACUCUAGUUUCAACUUCCGGUUACAUGUUGAUACACAAAAUACAAAUAUUGGAAGGGGUGACCCACAAUUACAAAACCAGAAAAGAAGAUAUGCAGAGCUAUAUUUGAGAAACCAGUGAUAUAUUAAAUGAUAACAAGCAUGCAGUAUUGUCCAUUACCUUUACAAUUAACAGUCCAACUCUGUUUCCCUCCUCUGAAGAAGUGAUUUUUUAGGAGUCCUGUAACCUGGAAGAUGAAAAUCAAAAUAUAUCGGACUUUCUAAAAGCAGUUGUGGUUCUAGCUAGUACUACUAGUAGAAUCUCUUGCAGACAUACGGUUGCAGAGGAGAGACAUCAACUACCUUGGCCUAUUCAAAACCAAUGUCUGUAUAGAGCCAUUUUCUUCUACCAGUACCCAGCAAAUGAGGAAGGAGACCAUUCUCGUUAUUUUCUGGUGAUUAGAGUCG